GAUUGAACGCUGGCGGCAGGCCUAACACAUGCAAGUCGAGCGGUAGCACAGAGAGCUUGCUCUCGGGUGACGAGCGGCGGACGGGUGAGUAAUGUCUGGGAAACUGCCUGAUGGAGGGGGAUAACUACUGGAAACGGUAGCUAAUACCGCAUAACGUCGCAAGACCAAAGUGGGAGACCUUCGGGCCUCAUGCCAUCAGAUGUGCCCAGAUGGGAUUAGCUAGUAGGUGGGGUAACGGCUCACCUAGGCGACGAUCCCUAGCUGGUCUGAGAGGAUGACCAGCCACACUGGAACUGAGACACGGUCCAGACUCCUACGGGAGGCAGCAGUGGGGAAUAUUGCACAAUGGGCGCAAGCCUGAUGCAGCCAUGCCGCGUGUGUGAAGAAGGCCUUCGGGUUGUAAAGCACUUUCAGCGGGGAGGAAGGCGUUAAGGUUAAUAACCUUGGCGAUUGACGUUACCCGCAGAAGAAGCACCGGCUAACUCCGUGCCAGCAGCCGCGGUAAUACGGAGGGUGCAAGCGUUAAUCGGAAUUACUGGGCGUAAAGCGCACGCAGGCGGUCUGUCAAGUCGGAUGUGAAAUCCCCGGGCUCAACCUGGGAACUGCAUUCGAAACUGGCAGGCUAGAGUCUUGUAGAGGGGGGUAGAAUUCCAGGUGUAGCGGUGAAAUGCGUAGAGAUCUGGAGGAAUACCGGUGGCGAAGGCGGCCCCCUGGACAAAGACUGACGCUCAGGUGCGAAAGCGUGGGGAGCAAACAGGAUUAGAUACCCUGGUAGUCCACGCCGUAAACGAUGUCGAUUUGGAGGUUGUGCCCUUGAGGCGUGGCUUCCGGAGCUAACGCGUUAAAUCGACCGCCUGGGGAGUACGGCCGCAAGGUUAAAACUCAAAUGAAUUGACGGGGGCCCGCACAAGCGGUGGAGCAUGUGGUUUAAUUCGAUGCAACGCGAAGAACCUUACCUGGUCUUGACAUCCACAGAACUUUCCAGAGAUGGAUUGGUGCCUUCGGGAACUGUGAGACAGGUGCUGCAUGGCUGUCGUCAGCUCGUGUUGUGAAAUGUUGGGUUAAGUCCCGCAACGAGCGCAACCCUUAUCCUUUGUUGCCAGCGGUUCGGCCGGGAACUCAAAGGAGACUGCCAGUGAUAAACUGGAGGAAGGUGGGGAUGACGUCAAGUCAUCAUGGCCCUUACGACCAGGGCUACACACGUGCUACAAUGGCAUAUACAAAGAGAAGCGACCUCGCGAGAGCAAGCGGACCUCAUAAAGUAUGUCGUAGUCCGGAUUGGAGUCUGCAACUCGACUCCAUGAAGUCGGAAUCGCUAGUAAUCGUAGAUCAGAAUGCUACGGUGAAUACGUUCCCGGGCCUUGUACACACCGCCCGUCACACCAUGGGAGUGGGUUGCAAAAGAAGUAGGUAGCUUAACCUUCNGGGAGGGCGCUUACCACUUUGUGAUUCAUGACUGGGGUGAAGUCGUAACAAGG
RNAcentral lists this ribosomal RNA (1478 nucleotides) under uncultured bacterium. Its description in RNAcentral is "bacterial SSU rRNA". It matches the Rfam family "Bacterial small subunit ribosomal RNA". The record is from RNAcentral.